UUAUAGGCUUCUCUCGAAGUCACUACAUUCAAUCUUUUAAUCAAUUU
Molecule: non-coding RNA, 47 nt
Organism: Gossypium raimondii (Peruvian cotton)
Lineage: Eukaryota; Viridiplantae; Streptophyta; Magnoliopsida; Malvales; Malvaceae
Source: Rfam